RNAcentral lists this ribosomal RNA (547 nucleotides) under uncultured bacterium. RNAcentral's name for it is "bacterial SSU rRNA". It matches the Rfam family "Bacterial small subunit ribosomal RNA", at positions 66 to 642 of the family's 1533-position model. The record is from RNAcentral.
GCGGGCAUCUUCGGAUGUUAGCGGCGGACGGGUGAGUAACGCGUGGGAACAUACCCUUUGGUACGGAAUAGCCUCGGGAAACUGGGAGUAAUACCGUAUGUGCUCUUUCACUGUAGAGGUGGUUGAGGAAAGAUUUAUCGCCAAAGGAUUGGCCCGCGUUGGAUUAGGUAGUUGGUGGGGUAAUGGCCUACCAAGCCGACGAUCCAUAGCUGGUUUGAGAGGAUGAUCAGCCACACUGGGACUGAGACACGGCCCAGACUCCUACGGGAGGCAGCAGUGGGGAAUCUUAGACAAUGGGCGCAAGCCUGAUCUAGCCAUGCCGCGUGAGCGAUGAAGGCCUUAGGGUUGUAAAGCUCUUUCAGUGGGGAAGAUAAUGACGGUACCCACAGAAGAAGCCCCGGCUAACUCCGUGCCAGCAGCCGCGGUAAUACGGAGGGGGCUAGCGUUGUUCGGAAUUACUGGGCGUAAAGCGCACGUAGGCGGGACGGAAAGUCCGAGGUGACAUCCCAGGGCUCAACCUUGGAACUGCCUUUGAAACUCCCGUUCU